ACGAACGCUGGCGGCAUGCCUAACACAUGCAAGUCGAACGAUGCCUCCGGGCAUAGUGGCGCACGGGUGCGUAACGCGUGGGAAUCUGCCCUUGGGUUCGGAAUAACUCGCCGAAAGGCGAGCUAAUACCGGAUGAUGACGUAAGUCCAAAGAUUUAUCGCCCAAGGAUGAGCCCGCGUAGGAUUAGCUAGUUGGUGGGGUAAAGGCCCACCAAGGCGACGAUCCUUAGCUGGUCUGAGAGGAUGAUCAGCCACACUGGGACUGAGACACGGCCCAGACUCCUACGGGAGGCAGCAGUGGGGAAUAUUGGACAAUGGGCGAAAGCCUGAUCCAGCAAUGCCGCGUGAGUGAUGAAGGCCUUAGGGUUGUAAAGCUCUUUUACCCGGGAUGAUAAUGACAGUACCGGGAGAAUAAGCUCCGGCUAACUCCGUG
Molecule: ribosomal RNA, 432 nt
Filed under: uncultured bacterium
Lineage: Bacteria
Description: partial 16S ribosomal RNA
Rfam family: Bacterial small subunit ribosomal RNA
Source: RNAcentral